Molecule: ribosomal RNA, 987 nt
Filed under: Bacillus subtilis
Lineage: Bacteria; Bacillati; Bacillota; Bacilli; Caryophanales; Bacillaceae
Description: bacterial SSU rRNA
Rfam family: Bacterial small subunit ribosomal RNA
Source: RNAcentral
UCGAGCGAGACAGAUGGGAGCUUGCUCCCUGAUGUUAGCGGCGGACGGGUGAGUAACACGUGGGUAACCUGCCUGUAAGACUGGGAUAACUCCGGGAAACCGGGGCUAAUACCGGAUGGUUGUUUGAACCGCAUGGUUCAAACAUAAAAGGUGGCUUCGGCUACCACUUACAGAUGGACCCGCGGCGCAUUAGCUAGUUGGUGAGGUAAUGGCUCACCAAGGCAACGAUGCGUAGCCGACCUGAGAGGGUGAUCGGCCACACUGGGACUGAGACACGGCCCAGACUCCUACGGGAGGCAGCAGUAGGGAAUCUUCCGCAAUGGACGAAAGUCUGACGGAGCAACGCCGCGUGAGUGAUGAAGGUUUUCGGAUCGUAAAGCUCUGUUGUUAGGGAAGAACAAGUACCGUUCGAAUAGGGCGGUACCUUGACGGUACCUAACCAGAAAGCCACGGCUAACUACGUGCCAGCAGCCGCGGUAAUACGUAGGUGGCAAGCGUUGUCCGGAAUUAUUGGGCGUAAAGGGCUCGCAGGCGGUUUCUUAAGUCUGAUGUGAAAGCCCCCGGCUCAACCGGGGAGGGUCAUUGGAAACUGGGGAACUUGAGUGCAGAAGAGGAGAGUGGAAUUCCACGUGUAGCGGUGAAAUGCGUAGAGAUGUGGAGGAACACCAGUGGCGAAGGCGACUCUCUGGUCUGUAACUGACGCUGAGGAGCGAAAGCGUGGGGGAGCGAACAGGAUUAGAUACCCUGGUAGUCCACGCCGUAAACGAUGAGUGCUAAGUGUUAGGGGGUUUCCGCCCCUUAGUGCUGCAGCUAACGCAUUAAGCACUCCGCCUGGGGAGUACGGUCGCAAGACUGAAACUCAAAGGAAUUGACGGGGGCCCGCACAAGCGGUGGAGCAUGUGGUUUAAUUUCAAAGCAACGCCGAAGAACCUUACCAGGUCUUGACAUCCUUCUGACAAUCCUAGAAAUAGGACGUCCCUUCGGGGG